CGGGGCUGAACCCGCCGCCCACCCCACCGCCUGCCGCCCGCCCCGACGGCUCCGAGUUCGUCCCGCCGCCUGCCGAGCCCAAGAAGCCCUUCAAGCCGCCGGUGUCCCCCAAGCCUGUGCUGACGCAGCCACCUCAGAAGAUGCCCGGGCCGCCAGUGCCCGUCCCCAAAAAGGUGCCCAUCCCAAGCCCCGGCAGCCCAGAGGUGAAGCGGGUCCAUGGCACGCCACCCCCGGUGUCCCCCAAGCCCACGCCGCCCCCCACGGCACCCAAGCCCCCCAAGCCCCAUGCUGCCAUCCAGUCAGUGAGCGCCAGCUCCACGCCGGCCCCAUCGCCAGCCCGGCAGCUGAGCCCUGCAGCCAAGCCCUCCAGCACGCCGCCCUCGCUCUGCUCCAGCCCCGCCAAGCCCCUGUCGCCCGGCGCGCAGCCCCAGCAGGUGCCGGUGAAGCCGCCCCGCUCCACCAUCGCCAGCCCAUCCGUGGACAGCGGCGGCCCCGAGCUGGCGCAGCAGAAGCUGGAGGAGACGAGCGCAUCCCUGGCCGCUGCGCUGCAGGCGGUGGAGGAGAAGAUCAAGCAGGAGGACAGUCAGGCGGCAGACUCAGCCGUGGAGUCGAAGAGCACCGUGAGCAUCCUGGACGACAUCGGCAGCAUGUUCGACGACCUGGCGGACCAGCUGGAUGCCAUGCUGGAGUGAGGGGCGCCAGGGCCCCGAGAACCUCAGGGCUUACGUGGGCACAAGGGCACAACGAUCCACGACCCCCCGGCCCCGCCGCCCUCCCCCGUCCCCUUUGUACAGCCGUCCCCUCCCGGACAUCCCGUCCCUUGGGGUUUGCACAAAGAAGAAGAUACCUCAGGAUUGUGCUCACGGACUCGGCGCCGGCUCCGGCAGGACUCCCUUUUGCAGAAGCAAAAAAAAUAACAAAAACAAAAACAAAACCCACAGAAAUAAAACCCAACAGAAGAAACAAAGCAACACAAAGCUCCGGACCAAGCUGCGGCCAGGGCUCCGGGGGGCUCCUGCCUGACCCUGCCAGCUGCGGCGCCGCGGGUCACCGCCGCCCGAAUGUAGCACAAGCCCUGCCCGGCGCGGUGGCUCCGCCAGCCGCGUGUCACUGAUGGCGUUUGCUGGUGGUGGGGCCGGGCGGGCAAAUGCACUUGGUUUUCUUUGCUCCGUUUUUAAUUUUGAUUUUUAAACUUUGUUUUCUUUCUCGGUCGGCGUUGGCGGGGGCGGGCAAGGCUGGCGGUGGCCCUGGGGGCAGCGGGACGUGCCCCUGCCCGGCCCCUCCCCGCCUGGGGACAGGACGGUGAUAAGCUAUAAAAAAAAAAGGUAUUAAUUUAUUGGAGGGGAAAAAAAAAAUAAAAAAAAGAUAUAAAGCA
Molecule: long non-coding RNA, 1375 nt
Filed under: Serinus canaria (Common canary)
Lineage: Eukaryota; Metazoa; Chordata; Aves; Passeriformes; Fringillidae
Description: lncRNA (ENSSCAG00000005366.1)
Source: RNAcentral